GUGUGUAUAGUGUAAUAAUAACACUCUAGCUUUUCAUGCUAAAAAUAUACAUCGUAUUACACAUC
Molecule: transfer RNA, 65 nt
Filed under: Metaphire californica
Lineage: Eukaryota; Metazoa; Annelida; Clitellata; Crassiclitellata; Megascolecidae
Description: tRNA-Glu
Rfam family: tRNA
About the family: Transfer RNA (tRNA) molecules are approximately 80 nucleotides in length. Their secondary structure includes four short double-helical elements and three loops (D, anti-codon, and T loops).
Source: RNAcentral